CCUACGGGGGGCAGCAGUCGAGAAUCAUUCACAAUGGGGGAAACCCUGAUGGUGCGACGCCGCGUGGGGGAAUGAAGGUCUUCGGAUUGUAAACCCCUGUCAUGUGGGAGCAAAUUAAAAAGAUAGUACCACAAGAGGAAGAGACGGCUAACUCUGUGCCAGCAGCCGCGGUAAUACAGAGGUCUCAAGCGUUGUUCGGAAUCACUGGGCGUAAAGCGUGCGUAGGCUGUUUCGUAAGUCGUGUGAGAAAGGCGAGGGCUCAACCCGCGGAUGGCACAUGAUACUGCGAGACUAGAGUAAUGGAGGGGGAACCGGAAUUCGCGGUGUAGCAGUGAAAUGCGUAGAUAUCGAGAGGAACACUCGUGGCGAAGGCGGGUUCCUGGACAUUAACUGACGCUGAGGCACGAAGGCCAGGGGAGCGAAAGGGAUUAGAUACCCCUGUAGUC
RNAcentral lists this ribosomal RNA (446 nucleotides) under uncultured bacterium. Its description in RNAcentral is "partial 16S ribosomal RNA". It matches the Rfam family "Bacterial small subunit ribosomal RNA", at positions 338 to 795 of the family's 1533-position model. The record is from RNAcentral.